UCGGGAAUAUUGCGCAAUGGAGGAAACUCUGACGCAGUGACGCCGCGUGCAGGAAGAAGGUUUUCGGAUUGUAAACUGCUUUAGACAGGGAAGAAAAAAAUGACAGUACCUGUAGAAUAAGCUCCGGCUAACUACGUGCCAGCAGCCGCGGUAAUACGUAGGGAGCAAGCGUUAUCCGGAUUUAUUGGGUGUAAAGGGUGCGUAGAUGGAUAAGCAAGUUGGUUGUGAAAUCCCUCGGCUUAACUGAGGAACUGCAACCAAAACUGUUAAUCUUGAGUACUGGAGGGGAAAGCGGAAUUCCUAGUGUAGCGGUGAAAUGCGUAGAUAUUAGGAAGAACACCGGUGGCGAAGGCGGCUUUCUGGACAGCAACUGACAUUGAGGCACGAAAGUGUGGGGAGCAAACAGG
This 407-nucleotide ribosomal RNA is filed under the name uncultured bacterium. Its description in RNAcentral is "bacterial SSU rRNA". It matches the Rfam family "Bacterial small subunit ribosomal RNA", at positions 355 to 776 of the family's 1533-position model. The record is from RNAcentral.